AUACUAUUGCGCGGUUACCGCGGCUGCUGGCACGGAGUUAGCCGGUGCUUCUUCUGUGAGUGAUGUCCUUCCUGCCGGCUAUUAACCCGCAGGCCUUCUUCCUCACUGAAAGUGCUUUACAACCCGAAGGCCUUCUUCACACACGCGGCAUGGCUGGAUCAGGGUUGCCCCCAUUGUCCAAUAUUCCCCACUGCUGCCUCCCGUAGGAGUCUGGGCCGUGUCUCAGUCCCAGUGUGGCUGAUCAUCCUCUCAGACCAGCUACGGAUCGUCGCCUUGGUGAGCCGUUACCUCACCAACCAGCUAAUCCGACAUAGGCUCAUCCGAUAGCGCGAGGCCCGAAGGUCCCCCGCUUUCCCCCGUAGGGCGUAUGCGGUAUUAGCCUGGGUUUCCCCAGGUUAUCCCCCACUACCGGGCAGAUUCCUAUGCAUUACUCACCCGGUCCGCCGCUCGCCACCAGGGAGCAAGCUCCCCGUGCUGCCGCUCGACUUGCAUGUGUUAGGCCUGCCGCCAGCGUUCAAU
This 519-nucleotide ribosomal RNA is filed under the name uncultured bacterium. RNAcentral describes it as "partial 16S ribosomal RNA". The record is from RNAcentral.